GGCGGCCGUAACUAUAACGGUCCUAAGGUAGCGAAAUUCCUUGUCGGGUAAGUUCCGACCUGCACGAAUGGCGUAAUGAUGGCCAGGCUGUCUCCACCCGAGACUCAGUGAAAUUGAACUCGCUGUGAAGAUGCAGUGUACCCGCGGCAAGACGGAAAGACCCCGUGAACCUUUACUAUAGCUUGACACUGAACAUUGAGCCUUGAUGUGUAGGAUAGGUGGGAGGCUUUGAAGUGUGGACGCCAGUCUGCAUGGAGCCGACCUUGAAAUACCACCCUUUAAUGUUUGAUGUUCUAACGUUGACCCGUAAUCCGGGUUGCGGACAGUGUCUGGUGGGUAGUUUGACUGGGGCGGUCUCCUCCUAAAGAGUAACGGAGGAGCACGAAGGUUGGCUAAUCCUGGUCGGACAUCAGGAGGUUAGUGCAAUGGCAUAAGCCAGCUUGACUGCGAGCGUGACGGCGCGAGCAGGUGCGAAAGCAGGUCAUAGUGAUCCGGUGGUUCUGAAUGGAAGGGCCAUCGCUCAACGGAUAAAAGGUACUCCGGGGAUAACAGGCUGAUACCGCCCAAGAGUUCAUAUCGACGGCGGUGUUUGGCACCUCGAUGUCGGCUCAUCACAUCCUGGGGCUGAAGUAGGUCCCAAGGGUAUGGCUGUUCGCCAUUUAAAGUGGUACGCGAGCUGGGUUUAGAACGUCGUGAGACAGUUCGGUCCCUAUCUGCCGUGGGCGCUGGAGAACUGAGGGGGGCUGCUCCUAGUACGAGAGGACCGGAGUGGACGCAUCACUGGUGUUCGGGUUGUCAUGCCAAUGGCACUGCCCGGUAGCUAAAUGCGGAAGAGAUAAGUGCUGAAAGCAUCUAAGCACGAAACUUGCCCCGAGAUGAGUUCUCCCUGACUCCUUGAGAGUCCUGAAGGAACGUUGAAGACGACGACGUUGAUAGGCCGGGUGUGUAAGCGCAGCGAUGCGUUGAGCUAACCGGUACUAAUGAACCGUGAGG
Molecule: ribosomal RNA, 993 nt
Filed under: Escherichia coli
Lineage: Bacteria; Pseudomonadati; Pseudomonadota; Gammaproteobacteria; Enterobacterales; Enterobacteriaceae
Description: partial 23S ribosomal RNA
Rfam family: Bacterial large subunit ribosomal RNA
Source: RNAcentral